Molecule: transfer RNA, 73 nt
Filed under: Micromonospora costi
Lineage: Bacteria; Bacillati; Actinomycetota; Actinomycetes; Micromonosporales; Micromonosporaceae
Description: tRNA-Thr
Rfam family: tRNA
About the family: Transfer RNA (tRNA) molecules are approximately 80 nucleotides in length. Their secondary structure includes four short double-helical elements and three loops (D, anti-codon, and T loops).
Source: RNAcentral
GCCGGCGUAGCUCAACUGGCAGAGCACGCCCCUCGUAAGGGUGAGGUUGCGGGUUCAACUCCCGCCGCUGGCU